This 1050-nucleotide ribosomal RNA is filed under the name Corynebacterium diphtheriae. Its description in RNAcentral is "bacterial LSU rRNA". It matches the Rfam family "Bacterial large subunit ribosomal RNA", at positions 1 to 1002 of the family's 2925-position model. Lineage: Bacteria; Bacillati; Actinomycetota; Actinomycetes; Mycobacteriales; Corynebacteriaceae. The record is from RNAcentral.
GUGUUGUUUGUUAAGGGCACACGGUGGAUGCCUUGGCAUUAUGAGCCGAUGAAGGACGUGUAAGGCCGCGAUAGGCCUCGGGGAGUUGCCAAUAGAGCGUUGAUCCGAGGGUGUCCGAAUGGGGAAACCUGGCCAUGGUUAUGUGUGGUUACCCAUCAGUGAAUUCAUAGCUGGUGUGGGGGUGACGCGGGGAAGUGAAACAUCUCAGUACCCGUAGGAGAAGAAAAUAAUUAAUGAUUCUGCUAGUAGUGGCGAACGAACGUGGAUGAGGCUAAACCGUAUGCGUGUGAUACCUGGCAGGGGUUGCGUGUGUGGUGUUGUGGGGCGUUGUUGGAGGAGGCUGCCGGCUCCUCGCUUGUUAUAUGUGUGUGUUAGCGGAAGUGGUUUGGAAUGGCCUGCCGUAGUGGGUGAGAGUCCCGUACGUGAAAACAUGUGCAUGCGAGUGGAUGAUGUUCCCGAGUAGCAGCGGGCUCGUGGAAUCUGCUGUGAAUCUGCCGGGACCACCCGGUAAGCCUAAAUACUUAUGAUGACCGAUAGCGGAUAGUACCGUGAGGGAAUGGUGAAAAGUACCCCGGGAGGGGAGUGAAAUAGUACCUGAAACCGUGUGCUUACAAUCCGUCAGAGCCUUUUUGUUGGGUGAUGGCGUGCCUUUUGAAGAAUGAGCCUGCGAGUCAGCGGCAUGUCGCGAGGUUAACCCGUGUGGGGUAGUCGUAGCGAAAGCGAAUCCUAAUGAGGGUGUUUUAAGUGGCAUGUCCUGGACCCGAAGCGGGGUGAUCUACCCAUGGCCAGUGUGAAGCAGCUGUAAGAGGUUGUGGAGGCGCGAACCCACUUAGGUUGAAAACUGAGGGGAUGAGCUGUGGGUAGGGGUGAAAGGCCAAUCAAACUCCGUGAUAGCUGGUUCUCCCCGAAAUGCAUUUAGGUGCAGCGUUGUGUGUUUCUUGCUGGAGGUAGAGCUACUGGUUGGUUGAGCGGGACUACAAUCUUAGCAAUGUCAGCCAAACUCCGAAUGCCGGUAAUGUUAAGCAUGGCAGUGAGACUGCGGGGGAUAAG